GAUGAACGCUGGCGGCGUGCCUAACACAUGCAAGUCGAGCGGAAAGGCGCUGCUUUUGCGUGGUUCUCGAGUGGCGAACGGGUGAGUAACACGGGAGUAUCCUGCCCUUGACUGUGUGAUAACUUCAGGAAACUGGGGCUAAUACCGGAUAGGAGCUCCUGCUGCAUGGGGGGCGUUGGAAAGUUUCGGCGGUUGGGGAUGGACUCGCGGGUUAUCAGCUUGUUGGGGGAGUAGUUGCUUACCAAGGGUUCGACGGGUAGCCGGCCUGAGAGGGUGAACGGGCACAUGGCGACUAAGAGAGGGACCAGACUCGAACGUGAGGCAGCGGUGGGAAAUAUUGCACAACGGGGGGACGUGUGAGGAAGAGACGCCGCGAGCGUAAUGACGGCCUACGGAGGAUGAACCGCUUUCGCCUGUGACGAAGCGUGAGUGACGGUACUGGGUAAAGAAGCACCGGCUAACUACGUG
Molecule: ribosomal RNA, 468 nt
Filed under: uncultured bacterium
Lineage: Bacteria
Description: partial 16S ribosomal RNA
Rfam family: Bacterial small subunit ribosomal RNA
Source: RNAcentral